Molecule: unclassified non-coding RNA, 359 nt
Filed under: soil metagenome
Description: partial contains 5.8S ribosomal RNA, internal transcribed spacer 2, and large subunit ribosomal RNA
Rfam family: 5.8S ribosomal RNA (bases 1-118)
Source: RNAcentral
GAUGAAGAACGUAGCAAAGUGCGAUAUGUACUGCGCUGUGCGCGAAAUGCGCAGUCAUUCUUCGAAUGCACAUUGUCCUGUCUGGCGAAUAGCCGGCAGGGCAUCUGCUUCAGGGUUGUUGAUUAUUUUUUGCGUUUGUUGUUGCCUCCGGGUCUCAGCACUUCGCUUUCUCGGGGGGUCACCACACGUGUGUCCCCCCGUAAUGUGUCCGGAUGCUCUUGCUUCUGUGGACUUGGGUGUAUGGCAGUCUGGUUCAUUGCUUGCAUUGUUCCUCGUAUUGCUUCUCCCUAUUAUUCAAUACCCGACCUGAAGUCAGGUGUGACUACCCGCUGAACUUAAGCAUAUCAAUAAGCGGAGGA